AACACACAACAUUCCAGGAAUGUACUACCAAAGUUCUAUCAAUAUUUGAAUGUCCUGGACAUUUAGGGAACAUUCGGUGAACAUCUGUUUAAAUUAUUCCUGGAAUGUUACCAUAAGACAUUCUGUGAACAUACUACCAAUGUUCCUAUAUUUUAAGUUGCGAAAUAAUACAUACGUGUAAGAGAUACAACAUUACUUAUAACAUACCAGACAAACUAAGUGACAUUUUAGGCCUACAGUGCAAUAAUAUGUCAAAUUUAAAGAGUUUCCCAAGAUUAUAAACAUACAAAUGUAAUAAAAAUUAUUGUUCGCGAAUAUUCAAUUUGGAAUGCGAUUUUGUUAAUAAAAAAAAUACUUAUAACUUAUGCAAAACCCAAGAGAGGCAUUUAUAUUUAUUUCUUUUGCGUUCAUUUUCAAAUUCGCCGUGCAUAUAUUUUUGUGCAUGGCGCUUGAGAGGGCAUCACGUGACUAAAAACGACCAACCAACGACCUCGCUUCGGCCAUCUUGGCAUCUUCAUCUUGGCGACCUUGCCUUGCCGUGGAUUGUUUUUAGUUGUUUGUAUUAUUUGUGCUUUUUAAGAAUAUUUUUUUAAUUCGGAUACUUUUAUAAUAGCUUUAAUAGUAUUAUUAACAUAGUGCAUAAAAUGGUGUCCUGUUUUUAACGCAGUUGGAGUAGCAGAAACAAAUGUAGAUAAAAAAAUCUGCAGGAAUAACGUUUCAAUUAUGACAGAAGCUCAAAACAAAUGACUGUGAAUGAAAAGCCCUAUUAAAAGCUUUCCAGAAGAUCCUGCGAAGAAGACAUGAAGUAUAGAUCAGAUUUGUUAAUAGAGGAGUAUGUUCAAAACACUUUUUAGAAAAAUAUAUUGACAGAACUUCACUUUCAUCUGUUCGUUUGAGAGACUGUGCUGUUCCAAUAGCUUAUGUCACACAGAAUCAGCUGAGAGAAGUGGUCUACAAAAAACCAGAAAGGAAACGGAAUAUGUGGCUACGAAAAGCAAAAGAAAGGUUUACAAAGCAAAUGUGACACAUUUUUUUAUAAUAUUUAGGAAU
Diabrotica virgifera virgifera (western corn rootworm) is the source of this 1050-nucleotide long non-coding RNA. RefSeq lists it as uncharacterized. The transcript is spliced from 3 exons. The record is from RefSeq and is a predicted model, not a curated record. Lineage: Eukaryota; Metazoa; Arthropoda; Insecta; Coleoptera; Chrysomelidae.